Molecule: small nuclear RNA, 103 nt
Organism: Neogale vison (American mink)
Lineage: Eukaryota; Metazoa; Chordata; Mammalia; Carnivora; Mustelidae
Source: Ensembl
GUACUUUGGCAGCACAUGUACGAAAAUUGGGAUUACACAAAGAAGAUCAAUUUUCCCCUGAGCAAGGAUGACAACAAAUUUUUGAAACAUUCCAUAUACGUUU